This 1389-nucleotide long non-coding RNA is filed under the name Mus musculus (house mouse). Its description in RNAcentral is "long non-coding RNA chr1:60330039-60331428". Lineage: Eukaryota; Metazoa; Chordata; Mammalia; Rodentia; Muridae. The record is from RNAcentral.
UUUUUUUUUUUUUUUUUUUGAGAUGAAGUUAAGUUGGGUAUGGUAGCACCUACUUACAAUCCCAGUACUUGUAAGUUUGGGGCCAGACUGGUCUACAUAGUAAGUUGUAGGCAAACCAGGGCUAUGUAGGAAGAUCCAUUUCUACAAACAACCACAGAAGAAGGCUGGAGAGAGAUCACAGCAGGUCAGAGCAUUUGUUGCUCUUGCCAGAAGCAGGAGUUCAGUUUCUAGCCCUGACAUAGCGCGCCUUAGAACCAUUUGUAACUCCAGUUCUAAGGGAACCACCACCGCGUCUAACCUUCACAGGCACUAGGCAUGUGGUACACAUACAUGGGUGAGCAAAGCACUCAUUUACAUAAAGUAAAUUUUUAAAAAACCAUGUUUCCAUUCAACAUCGUGUUUCUUGAUAGUUUCCUGAAUCAUGCCCACCUUUCCCCUGCUAGUGUGAUAGUUACAUAACAUUUCUCCUCAGACUUUAUCCUUUGAGUACACACCUGUAAUCCCUGUUGGUUGGAGGCUAAGGUAGAAGAAUCACAAGUUGAAGGUCUGCCUAGCAUAUAGGGUGAGUUCAAGGCCAGGCCAAGCAACUAAUGAGACCGUCUCAAAACAAAAGUACAAAGAUUAGGGAUAAAGCUAGAGUACUUGUCUAACAAGAAGAGGCCUUGAGUCUAAUCUCUAGUACUGCAAUGAGUAGCUUUUGUUAUUAAUCAAGAAUCUUUUUAACAUGUUAGUGAUUUUGGUACUAAAACCUGUUCUUCUCUUUAUAAACUCAGUGUCUUACAGGUUGAUUUUAUAUAUCCUUGUUUUUCCCUUAACACCUAUUCUUCAUUUCUCUGGAUUACCUUAAACAGAUGCGAUCGGGUCAGCUUUCUCGAAAAUUGUGGGGAUCUAGCAAGAGGCUCAGCCAGAUUUCAGCUGGAGAAACGGAAUAUAAUACUCAAGAUUGCAAGUGACUGUCCUUCCGCCUUCUGUGAUGGAGACUGAGCUUCGUUAUGGCUCUGUCACUUCAGCUGCACCUCUCCACUCUGAAAGUCUCUAAGGUUUUAUCCUGAAGAAUGGACUUCCAUGCUUUGAUAUUGGAGCACAUGCCUGUAACACUAACGCUCGAGAGGCUGAGGAAAGAAGGUGGCUCUUAAGUUCAAGGCCAACCUGUGCUACAUAGCAAGGCCUUGUCUCAAAAAUACAUAAGUUGUAGGUUGUAUUAAGUCCAUAUUUAAAGCUUUGCCAAUAUGAGUCUAGUUUUAUUAACCAGUACUAAAAUUCAAUUGAGAAAAUAUUGAUUUAAUUUAAUAAUUUGAUUAAAUAAUUCCAAAUUAUUAAAUCUGUAAAAAAAUUAUAAUUUAUAAUUUAUUUUGAGGUUAAAGUCCCUUAACCUAAGUAGCAAAAUUC